Molecule: ribosomal RNA, 274 nt
Filed under: uncultured bacterium
Lineage: Bacteria
Description: partial 16S ribosomal RNA
Rfam family: Bacterial small subunit ribosomal RNA
Source: RNAcentral
AUACGGAGGGGGCUAGCGUUGUUCGGAAUUACUGGGCGUAAAGCGUACGUAGGCGGACUGAUAAGUUGGGGGUGAAAUCCCAGGGCUUAACCCUGGAACUGCCUUCAAUACUGUCAGUCUUGAGAUUGGAAGAGGUGAGUGGAAUUCCUAGUGUAGAGGUGAAAUUCAUAGAUAUUAGGAGGAACACCAGUGGCGAAGGCGGCUCACUGGUCCAAUACUGACGCUGAGGUACGAAAGCGUGGGGAGCAAACAGGAUUAGAAACCCUAGUAGUCC